GAUGAACGCUGGCGGCGUGCCUAAUACAUGCAAGUCGAGCGAACGGACGAGAAGCUUGCUUCUCUGAUGUUAGCGGCGGACGGGUGAGUAACACGUGGAUAACCUACCUAUAAGACUGGGAUAACUUCGGGAAACCGGAGCUAAUACCGGAUAAUAUUUUGAACCGCAUGGUUCAAAAGUGAAAGCCGGUCUUGCUGUCACUUAUAGAUGGAUCCGCGCUGCAUUAGCUAGUUGGUAAGGUAACGGCUUACCAAGGCAACGAUGCAUAGCCGACCUGAGAGGGUGAUCAGCCACACUGGAACUGAGACACGGUCCAGACUCCUACGGGAGGCAGCAGUAGGGAAUCUUCCGGAAAGGGCGAAAGCCUGACGGAGCAACGCCGCGUGAGUGAUGAAGGUCUUCGGAUCGUAAACCUCUGUUAUUAGGGAAGAACAUAUGUGUAAGUAACUGUGCACAUCUUGACGGUACCUAAUCAGAAAGCCACGGCUAACUACGUG
RNAcentral lists this ribosomal RNA (497 nucleotides) under uncultured bacterium. Its description in RNAcentral is "partial 16S ribosomal RNA". It matches the Rfam family "Bacterial small subunit ribosomal RNA", at positions 28 to 507 of the family's 1533-position model. The record is from RNAcentral.